UAGUCUGCAACUCGACUACAUGAAGCUGGAAUCGCUGUAAUCGCGAAUCAGAAUGUCGCGGUGAAUACGUUCCCGGGUCUUGUACACACCGCCCGUCACACCAUGGGAGUUGGGAAUGCCCGAAGCCGGUGACCUAACCGCAAGGAAGGAGCCGUCGAAGGCAGGCUUGAUAACUGGGGUGAAGUCGUAACAAGGUACC
Molecule: ribosomal RNA, 199 nt
Filed under: uncultured bacterium
Lineage: Bacteria
Description: partial 16S ribosomal RNA
Rfam family: Bacterial small subunit ribosomal RNA
Source: RNAcentral